Long non-coding RNA from Glycine soja, 813 nucleotides. RefSeq lists it as uncharacterized. The transcript has 4 exons. The record is from RefSeq and is a predicted model, not a curated record. NCBI's taxonomy places the organism in Eukaryota, Viridiplantae, Streptophyta, Magnoliopsida, Fabales, Fabaceae.
UUAUCAGUGUGGGGAUAAUCGUAGCUGGUGCUUUUGUCGCGGGAGCUCGUGACUUGGCAUUUGAUGCUUUUUCCUAUUCAGUUGUAUUUAUAGAAAACAUGUCUAAGGCAGUAUACCUCGCUUCUGUUUCUCGUGUAGGCAAGAUUUCACCAUUUCCUUGUUUUGUCUCAUUCUUUUGAUUACUUUAGGCAUUCUUCAGUGAGUAUUUGCACAUUUUCAACUUUUCAUAGUGGUGAUUUGUGGACCGAUCUUGUUUCUCUGGUCCUUACUCAGAGGAGACCUUCAAGUAACACUAAACUUCCCAUAUUGUAUUCAUUUGAAUUAACUUUUUUAGUAUGUGAAAAUUAAUUGUUUUAAUGAUUUUCCCUCAUCUGCGAGAGGAUCCAAAGGCUCAAGAAGAAAUUUUACUUCCACUUUCAAGAUUAUGUUGAUUUGAUUAUCUGGAAGGUUGGGGCUUUGACAUUUCCGGUAGUAUGGCUGUAGCCAACCACUUCCGAUAGCAUUUUCUCUUUUAUUAUUCUUGUUUAAGUAUUUUCAGCAAAUGGAGAGCCUUGAGCCCGACGUUGCGGAUUGCUUGGAUGGUUGCACAACUGGUUGUGUUCAAAACGACUCGAGGCUUCAAGCACGGUGUGAAGGCAAGUGCAGCAUUAGAUACGGUCCAAGUGGCUGAGGAUUCAUUCUUUGUCAGACAUGGUGUAGCUUGGUGGUUUCUUAAUUUUGUUACUAAUUAUGAAAUAUGAAUUGUCUUUAAUUUCAGGUAUUUUUAAUGUUUUUGAAUAUUUUUGUAUGUAUGCACGAAUUUUUUGUUCUUAU